RNAcentral lists this long non-coding RNA (1126 nucleotides) under Panax ginseng (ginseng). Its description in RNAcentral is "long non-coding RNA (PGIN_LNC014700)". The record is from RNAcentral. Lineage: Eukaryota; Viridiplantae; Streptophyta; Magnoliopsida; Apiales; Araliaceae.
UAAUUACAUCAUUAAACUAAUUAAAAUAGUUAAAUUGGAUCAUUCUGUUAAAUUGAUUCAACGGCUGUUAAAUAUUUUCCUACGUGGAUCACAGUUGGCAAGAAUAUUUUCCUAAGUGGGUCACAGUUGGCAAGAAACACUUCGCCCCAAGAUCACCGUCCGGCACCCGGCAGCAGCCUCCAUGAAAUCCGACAACAGCCACCAGACUGGCAUCAGUCAUCAAUGGCUGCUGGCUCAAUUCCCAGCAACAAAAUCCGGCGAGCUUCUCAUUCAACCGGUAAAAUCACCGGAUAAUCAUUCAAAUCAACCUAUGAAGGAACUAGAUUUUUCGGCAAAUUAAACACCCAAACAGAACAAAAAUGAUAAGUAUCCAAAACCAUGAUCCAGAUUAGAAACACACAGAUAGAAAUCAUCCGCGAAAGCUACCGGAAAAGAAAAAUCAGAACAAACGAGGAUUCACCAAAUCUGAGCAUAGACAAAUAGCAUUAUACAAUAAAUACUCAUGCACCCAGAUCAAGACAAACACAAAAAGCCCCAUCCAACAGCCGACGCCAGAUCCAAGAACAGAUCUGAGAUCCAUCUUCCAAAAAUCAUCAUCUGCAAAAAUUAAUCUACUCGAUUCACUACGGCAUUUCGAAUCACAGCUUCGGCCUGCACACACAUACCAUUCUGUUCAAUCCCAGACAUGUAGCUCCUCACUUCUUUCUUUAUCAUCACCGACAAAAACUCUGGGAUGAAAAACUCCUUCUCGUAGUUAUUAGGAGUCGCCGGAGCUGUUGUUGUUAGAGCCAGCGCUAAUGAAACCUUAUCGGAGACCUCACAUAUCAGAUCCUGGAAGUGACAGAGAAAGUAAAGUCGGCGGGUCGGUAGUUGUCGACGCCGCCGUAUCAAUCUGCUGAACGGGAACAGGAGGGCUAAUGCCGAUGGUUGGCGCAACGAGUCUAUAAACAUACUGGGCGGGCACCGCAGGGAUACCAGGAGGCGAGCUUUGAUCGAAGAAUUUGAUUGUGAGAGAGAGGGGGUAGGUCAGAGAUUUGGUUCCACGUAUACCUCUAAGCCACGCCUUUUUUCUUCUUAUUUUAUAAAUCCACGUAAAAAAAUAUUUAACGUCCGUCCGAUUAAUUUU